RNAcentral lists this small nuclear RNA (94 nucleotides) under Meriones unguiculatus (Mongolian gerbil). The record is from RNAcentral. Lineage: Eukaryota; Metazoa; Chordata; Mammalia; Rodentia; Muridae.
GUGCUGGCUUCAGCAGCUCUCACACUGGAUUUGGAACGACAUAGAGAAGAUUAGCAUGGAUGACAGGCAAAUUUGUAAAGUGGUCCAUAUUAAA